This 253-nucleotide ribosomal RNA is filed under the name uncultured bacterium. RNAcentral describes it as "partial 16S ribosomal RNA". It matches the Rfam family "Bacterial small subunit ribosomal RNA", at positions 524 to 776 of the family's 1533-position model. The record is from RNAcentral. RNAcentral also lists the same sequence under 2 other names.
UACGGAGGGUGCGAACGUUGCUCGGAAUCAUUGGGCGUAAAGCGCACGUAGGCGGCGGCGUAAGCGGGAUGUGAAAGCCCAGGGCUCAACCCUGGAAGUGCAUCCCGAACUGUGUCGCUUGAAUCUCGGAGGGGGACAGAGAAUUCCCGGUGUAGAGGUGAAAUUCGUAGAUAUCGGGAGGAAUACCAGUGGCGAAGGCGCUGUCCUGGACGAAGAUUGACGCUGAGGUGCGAAAGCGUGGGGAGCAAACAGG